AGACAACAAAAUGUUUAAUAUUAUUAUUUUGUCACCUUAGGUCGAUCGGUAUCUCACAUUCUUAAUUUAAUAAGAAUUUCAUUUCCUAAGUUUUUCUAGGUCACACCCAUUAUUUUUCCUGGGCCAUUAGCUCAGGUGGUUAGAGCGCACCCCUGAUAAGGGUGAGGUCCCUGGUUCAAGUCCAGGAUGGCCCAUAUCUCUAUGUUGGGGGUAUAGCUCAGUUGGUAGAGCGCCUGCUUUGCAAGCAGGAUGUCAGCGGUUCGAGUCCGCUUACCUCCACUGAUUACCACCUCUUGCAUAAUCCGUACUAAGGAAAUGUUUUGAGUUGUGAUCAAAUUCUGAACGAUUCUAGCUUCCUAAUGAAAUCAUUAAGAUGCUGGACUCAUUGAAUUAUUUUCAUUGUUUUCAGAGAACCUUGACAACUGCAUAGAUUAUUUUUAAAGACAAUAAGCAUCUUUAAUGAUGCAGAUUUAUUAUUUGUGCAAAUGCAUUAAUAACAAUUCUAUUAAGCUGAUGCUUCAAUUUUGAAGUUAUU
This 535-nucleotide transfer RNA is filed under the name uncultured cyanobacterium. RNAcentral describes it as "partial 16S-23S intergenic spacer". The stretch from base 207 to 279 matches the Rfam family "tRNA". Lineage: Bacteria; Bacillati; Cyanobacteriota. The record is from RNAcentral.